RNAcentral lists this ribosomal RNA (475 nucleotides) under uncultured organism. RNAcentral describes it as "partial 16S ribosomal RNA". It matches the Rfam family "Bacterial small subunit ribosomal RNA", at positions 330 to 797 of the family's 1533-position model. The record is from RNAcentral.
CGUACACUCCUACGGGAGGCAGCAGUGGGGAAUAUUGCACAAUGGGCGCAAGCCUGAUGCAGCCAUGCCGCGUGUAUGAAGAAGGCCUUCGGGUUGUAAAGUACUUUCAGCGGGGAGGAAGGCGAUAAGGUUAAUAACCUUGUUGAUUGACGUUACCCGCAGAAGAAGCACCGGCUAACUCCGUGCCAGCAGCCGCGGUAAUACGGAGGGUGCAAGCGUUAAUCGGAAUUACUGGGCGUAAAGCGCACGCAGGCGGUCUGUCAAGUCGGAUGUGAAAUCCCCGGGCUCAACCUGGGAACUGCAUUCGAAACUGGCAGGCUAGAGUCUUGUAGAGGGGGGUAGAAUUCCAGGUGGAGCGGUGAAAUGCGUAGAGAUCUGGAGGAAUACCGGUGGCGAAGGCGGCCCCCUGGACAAAGACUGACGCUCAGGUGCGAAAGCGUGGGGAGCAAACAGGAUUAGAAACCCGGGUAGUCCC